AUGGCUGUGCCCACGUAGAGCACGUGGCAGGGAAAGCCAUGUGGCUGGGCUGUCAAAAAGGCCAUGUGGUGGCCCACCCACACCACACCCCCUGGAGCCUCCAAGUGGCUGUGGCACCCCUCACUUUGACUAGAGGGACAGUGAGUGGCAGUGAACAAAAGGUCCCAAUCUAGGGGGACUGGCCAAAGUCUAUAAACAGGCACACACAUGGCCUCCAUCUUCCCUUGGCCUCUGCCUUCCUGACUUCUCAGCAUGUGACCUCCAGAGUGGCAACAAGGAAACAAGGAUGAGGAGAAGUAAGGGAGCUGCAUACCCCUCAGCAUAACUUUAAUACCCAGAAGAAUUCUGGAACAAAUAAUUCAGCAACACAUUCGAAAGAGUGGAAAUGUUUCAGAACAAGCUGGAAAAGCACGUCUCCAGAGUAACCGUGGGGCAGGCAAAUGUGCAUUUCAGAUCCUAUCCAGCAAUACUUCUCCAGGCUUUUCUGAACAAGACCA
Lepidothrix coronata (blue-crowned manakin) is the source of this 497-nucleotide long non-coding RNA. RefSeq lists it as uncharacterized. NCBI's taxonomy places the organism in Eukaryota, Metazoa, Chordata, Aves, Passeriformes, Pipridae. The transcript has 3 exons. The record is from RefSeq and is a predicted model, not a curated record.